AGAGUUUGAUCCUGGCUCAGAUUGAACGCUGGCGGCAGGCCUAACACAUGCAAGUCGAGCGGAUGAGAAGAGCUUGCUCUUCGAUUCAGCGGCGGACGGGUGAGUAAUGCCUAGGAAUCUGCCUGGUAGUGGGGGACAACGUUUCGAAAGGAACGCUAAUACCGCAUACGUCCUACGGGAGAAAGCAGGGGACCUUCGGGCCUUGCGCUAUCAGAUGAGCCUAGGUCGGAUUAGCUAGUUGGUGAGGUAAUGGCUCACCAAGGCGACGAUCCGUAACUGGUCUGAGAGGAUGAUCAGUCACACUGGAACUGAGACACGGUCCAGACUCCUACGGGAGGCAGCAGUGGGGAAUAUUGGACAAUGGGCGAAAGCCUGAUCCAGCCAUGCCGCGUGUGUGAAGAAGGUCUUCGGAUUGUAAAGCACUUUAAGUUGGGAGGAAGGGCAUUAACCUAAUACGUUAGUGUUUUGACGUUACCGACAGAAUAAGCACCGGCUAACUCUGUGCCAGCAGCCGCGGUAAUAC
Molecule: ribosomal RNA, 523 nt
Filed under: Pseudomonas sp. C14B
Lineage: Bacteria; Pseudomonadati; Pseudomonadota; Gammaproteobacteria; Pseudomonadales; Pseudomonadaceae
Also listed under: 3 other names
Description: bacterial SSU rRNA
Rfam family: Bacterial small subunit ribosomal RNA
Source: RNAcentral